GAUGAACGCUGGCGGCGUGCCUAAUACAUGCAAGUCGAGCGAACAGACGAGGAUCUUGCUCCUCUGACGUUAGCGGCGGACGUGUGAGUAACACGUGGAUAACCUCCCUAUAAGACUGGUAUAACUUCGGGAAACCGGAGCUAAUACCGGAUAAUAUAUUGAACCGCAUGGUUCAAUAGUGAAAGACGGUUUUGCUGUCACUUAUAGAUGGUUCCGCGCCGCAUUAGCUAGUUGGUAAGGUAACGGCUUACCAAGGGGACGAUGCGUAGCCGACCUGAGAGGGUGAUCGGCCACACUGGAACUGAGACACGGUCCAGACUCCUACGGGAGGCAGCAGUAGGGAAUCUUCCGCAAUGGGCGAAAGCCUGACGGAGCAACGCCGCGUGAGUGAUGAAGGUCUUCGGAUCGUAAAACUCUGUUAUUAGGGAAGAACAAAUGUGUAAGUAACUAUGCACGUCUUGACGGUACCUAAUCAGAAAGCCACGGCUAACUACGUG
RNAcentral lists this ribosomal RNA (497 nucleotides) under uncultured bacterium. RNAcentral describes it as "partial 16S ribosomal RNA". It matches the Rfam family "Bacterial small subunit ribosomal RNA", at positions 28 to 507 of the family's 1533-position model. The record is from RNAcentral.